The sequence is a transfer RNA, 90 nucleotides long. It matches the Rfam family "tRNA". Rfam says of the family: Transfer RNA (tRNA) molecules are approximately 80 nucleotides in length. Their secondary structure includes four short double-helical elements and three loops (D, anti-codon, and T loops). The record is from Rfam.
GGCAAGAUGGCGGAGUGGUUAACGCGUUGGCCUGCUACCAGUAGUGAGCCAAUCCCUUCGGGGGCGUGAGUUCGAAUCUCACUCUUGUCG